RNAcentral lists this ribosomal RNA (767 nucleotides) under uncultured bacterium. RNAcentral's name for it is "bacterial SSU rRNA". It matches the Rfam family "Bacterial small subunit ribosomal RNA", at positions 47 to 799 of the family's 1533-position model. The record is from RNAcentral.
CUUUAAUUGAUAUGAAGAGCUUGCUCUGAUUUGAUUUUAUCUGACAAAGAGUGGCGAACGGGUGAGUAACACGUGGGUAACCUACCCCUUAGCAGGGGAUAACAUUUGGAAACAAGUGCUAAUACCGUAUAACACUAACAACCGCAUGGUUGUUAGUUGAAAGGUGGUUCUGCUAUCACUAAGAGAUGGACCCGCGGUGCAUUAGCUAGUUGGUAAGGUAAUGGCUUACCAAGGCGAUGAUGCGUAGCCGAGUUGAGAGACUGAUCGGCCACAAUGGGACUGAGACACGGCCCAUACUCCUACGGGAGGCAGCAGUAGGGAAUCUUCCACAAUGGGCGCAAGCCUGAUGGAGCAACGCCGCGUGUGUGAUGAAGGGUUUCGGCUCGUAAAACACUGUUAUAAGAGAAGAACGACAUUGAGAGUAACUGUUCAGUGUGUGACGGUAUCUUAUCAGAAAGGAACGGCUAAAUACGUGCCAGCAGCCGCGGUAAUACGUAUGUUCCAAGCGUUAUCCGGAUUUAUUGGGCGUAAAGCGAGCGCAGACGGUUAUUUAAGUCUGAAGUGAAAGCCCUCAGCUCAACUGAGGAAGGGCUUUGGAAACUGGAUAACUUGAGUGCAGUAGAGGAAAGUGGAACUCCAUGUGUAGCGGUGAAAUGCGUAGAUAUAUGGAAGAACACCGGUGGCGAAAGCGGCUUUCUGGACUGUAACUGACGUUGAGGCUCGAAAGUGUGGGUAGCAAACAGGAUUAGAUACCCUGGUAGUCCACA